GCUUCCUUCUCUUCUGCAUGUCGGACACGACGAGAACCUGAGCCGCUGUGGAAAGACACGAGCUGGCAGCCGCGUGAGCGGAAACCCCGGAGAAAAAUGGCUCUGGUAUCGACAGGACUGGGUCAGGAGACGUACUGUACUGAUGACACAGAAUCACCUUUGAAUGGUUCCACCUGUGGACCGGAGGACGCGUCCUUCCUUUUGGGUAGAUGCUGUGUGAGCUGUCAGCCUAACCGCACCCUGCAGAGCAGCCAUCAAACACAACUUACAACUGGCUGCCAUUUUUACAAUCUGCUCUGAAGUCUCUACACAUUGUCCCGACAGACACAAGGCCGCUGAGCCGUGCCUGGUUUACCAAAAGCAUCUUACUGCCAAAAUCAUCUUUUCCUCCACAAACCGAGACUGACAGAGAGGAGAGAUUGGCCGUGUCCUGUCUCGAGCCCAUGAACAGGAACCGUGUGAAUUCUAAGUUGCUUUAGACAAAUUGGGUGGUGGGCACUCGAGCAUAUCAGACCUUACUACAAUCCCGGUGUCCCAAUAGACCGUAAUACAUCGACACCAGCGGUUUUCCUCCCUUGGGGAACUGCAAGAACUGCAGAUGUUACUUUUCUAUGAUAACUAACAACCACUGAUCUAUACUAUCAAGAAGAAACUUGUUUCCACUACAUUUUCUCCGUAAGCAAGGGGUCUCCCUCGCGCGGUGGGAGGUGUUUCAGUUUUUCAUUUUGGUCUUCAUUUUCUUAGUUCAUUGAACACGCAGUCUGUAUGAUACUACGUGAACCUCCUCUUCUCUUCCUCCCCCUCAAACCAAGCCCUUGUUGGGUACGUGUAAAUCGUUAAUGAAUCUUUGCAUUCACAACAUGAUGGCGGACUUUUGAAGUAGAAGCAAAGAUUAUGCUGUCUCAAGCUCCCCUUUCCAUUCUCCCUGCACCUUCGAGCCCGUUGAUUCUUUCCUCAAAUAACUCCACUAUCAAUCCAUGUGCACCCAUCAAUUAAGAAAAGGUUUGUGGAGGCUUCCAUUUAGCUGCCAGCAUCCUUUUUUGCAUCCUGAUGUUCUCUGAGACAUGUUUUAGGUCAAAUUAAACCAUCACUUGAUAACAUUAUUUGUGCAGAAGAAACAACUAUGGUCUUUUUUAUAUUAUUGGCGUAGUUCUAUUUAUCGGUUUUAUUUACCCAUGAGGGUUAGAGAUACAUCUGUCACUGAGAUUAUUCCAACACACAUGAGAUGAAUAUCAUUUAAUUUCUGUUGAUCUAAUCUUUGGAAAAAUACACUUCACCUCCAGUAAAAAAAAUAUAGUAUGCAAUAUUACUUCAGUUGGAAAUGCACUGUUUUCACAUUCAUAUGCUGAAGGCAAAGCGUGUCUGUGAUCACUUUAAUCUGCUGCAUACGCAGCGUAGCGCAUGAUUUUGUGGCGCCAUCGUUUGGAAGUGAGUCUUUGCAGCUUUCACGCUUGCAAUGUGGGGACUUUGAACCUCCGGUGCACACCCUAACCGCUUGUGUUCAAUAGACAAAACCUUUUAGAGAUGAGAGAUUCUGGAUUUUUCAAUGUGGCUGGAGGAGCAGAUUACAUUUUAAGAUCCUAUCAGACUCAAACUAUAUUUCAAAGCGCUUAAAGUAUUUUUCUUGUAGUUCUCCUUUUAUAUCUUAAAAUGUCAACAUUUAGAUGGGAUGUUAAUACAAAUCUGCAGUAACAGUUAUUUCUAGAGUCAGUCUCUCUGUGGAUGACCACCUGUCAGCAUGUUUUUAUGAGAUGUUUCCUUUUAAGAAUGUAGUUAAAAGGAAAACUAUUGACCUUGAGCUAUAUGCAUAUCCAAAGAUAUAGCUCCUAAAUUUCAGAUUUUAAAGCUGCAAACCUGACUAUAUAAAUGACCAUAGUCUCUAUUUUAAUAGCUUAAUGGUUGUUUAUUGACUGAUUAUGUAGAGGAUCAGUCUAAUAAAGGAACUGUCUUUGUCUUUCUAAGUAGAAGAUGUGAUGCUUGCGAUUGCUGUGUUUUAGACCUUUCCUAUUGUGCACUUGAUAUCAAAUAAAUACAUUUAUUUCCAA
Pungitius pungitius (ninespine stickleback) is the source of this 2045-nucleotide long non-coding RNA. RefSeq lists it as uncharacterized. NCBI's taxonomy places the organism in Eukaryota, Metazoa, Chordata, Actinopteri, Perciformes, Gasterosteidae. The transcript has 2 exons. The record is from RefSeq and is a predicted model, not a curated record.